CACGUAAGAAUUUACCUUUAGGAGGGGGACGAACAGUUGGAAACGACUGCUAAUACCCAAUAUGCUUUAUAGUGAAACGGUUUUCCCGCCUAAAGAGAAGCUUGCGGCUGAUUAGCUUGUUGGUAGGGUAAAAGCCUACCAAGGCGACGAUCCAUAGCUGGUCUGAGAGGAUGAUCAGCCACAUUGGGACUGAGACACGGCCCAAACUCCUACGGGAGGCAGCAGUGGGGAAUAUUGGACAAUGGGCGCAAGCCUGAUCCAGCCAUGCCGCGUGAGUGAUGAAGGCCUUAGGGUUGUAAA
Molecule: ribosomal RNA, 300 nt
Filed under: uncultured bacterium
Lineage: Bacteria
Description: bacterial SSU rRNA
Rfam family: Bacterial small subunit ribosomal RNA
Source: RNAcentral